UACGGAGGAGGCAAGCGUUAUCCGGAAUCAUUGGGCGUAAAGCGUCCGUAGGUGGCUAGUCAAGUCUGCGGUCAAAGACUGGGGCUUAACCCUGGAAAGGCCGUGGAAACUGACGAGCUAGAGUGCAGUAGGGGUAGAGGGAAUUCCCGGUGUAGCGGUGAAAUGCGUAGAGCUCGGGAAGAACAUCGGUGGCGAAAGCGCUCUACUGGACUGCAACUGACACUCAGGGACGAAAGCUAGGGGAGCGAAUGGG
This 253-nucleotide ribosomal RNA is filed under the name uncultured bacterium. RNAcentral's name for it is "partial 16S ribosomal RNA". It matches the Rfam family "Bacterial small subunit ribosomal RNA", at positions 524 to 776 of the family's 1533-position model. The record is from RNAcentral.